AAGCUCGUAGUUGGAUUUCUGCUGGAAGCAGCCAGUCCGCCCUCAGGGGUGUGCACUUGGUGAAUUCUAGCAUCCUUCUGGAUUUCUCCACACUUCAUUGUGUGGAGUUUUUUCCAGGACUUUUACUUUGAGAAAAUUAGAGUGUUUCAAGCAGGCUUGUCGCCUUGAAUACUGCAGCAUGGAAUAAUAAGAUAGGAUUUCGGCCCUAUUUUGUUGGUUUCUAGGACUGAAGUAAUGAUUAAUAGGGGCGGUUGGGGGCAUUCGUAUUUAACUGUCAGAGGUGAAAUUCUUAGAUUUGUUAAAGACGAACUACUGCGAAAGCAUUUGCCAAAGAUGUUUUCAUUAAUCAAGRACGAAAGUUAGGGGCUCGAAGACGAUCAGAUACCGUCGUAGCCUUAACCAUAAACUAUGCCGACUAGAGAUAGGAAAACGUCAUGCUUGACUUCUCCUGCAC
This 454-nucleotide ribosomal RNA is filed under the name Toxoplasma gondii. RNAcentral's name for it is "SSU rRNA". It matches the Rfam family "Eukaryotic small subunit ribosomal RNA", at positions 626 to 1097 of the family's 1831-position model. Lineage: Eukaryota; Apicomplexa; Conoidasida; Eucoccidiorida; Sarcocystidae. The record is from RNAcentral.